GCAAAGAUAUUUCUGUCUAGGUAAUAUGUAUGAAUAAGCUAACUAAACAUUUUUCCAUUGAAUUUUUUUGUUCUAUGCUAAUAAACAAACCAGUGACUUGCUGUUGAUAACAUAGAAACUAAAUGUUGUGACAUUUAUGCCUUAGAAAUGCUUUUUUUAUUUUUACAGACCUAAAACAGCUGUUUGUAUUAUUCAUCCAACGAUGCCAUUUAUUUCAUCAGCAGGAAUCACAACCUUUGUUUUGUGUUUUCUCUGUUACUUUGGUUGGUUCAUGAAAUUGAGUCAUUGGGAUCCUGAGGGCGAUGUGGAGUGGGCAGCCUUGGUUUUGUGGCCUUUGAUUUGCCCUUCAGUGUCCAUUGACACGUGAAUUUGUUUAAAUCCCUUAUAUCAC
RNAcentral lists this long non-coding RNA (391 nucleotides) under Bos taurus (domestic cattle). RNAcentral's name for it is "long non-coding RNA NONBTAT019669". The record is from RNAcentral. Lineage: Eukaryota; Metazoa; Chordata; Mammalia; Artiodactyla; Bovidae.